AUGUUUUUGUCACAGUCACUCAGCCGCGUCAACAACAUCCGGACAGCGCUAAUCAAUGCGCAAAAGGGCAAUCAAUCGGUGGCCACCUUCUUCGCCGCCAUGAGGGGUCUCGCCGAUGAACUCGCCGCGGCGGGAAAAUCCAUCCAGGACGACGAGUUGAUCUCCUACAUCAUCCACGGGCUGGACCAAGACUAUCAGCCCCUCGUCUCUACAUUGAAGUCAAAGGUGGUAUGUGAAGACAUUCACAUUGAAGACUAUGACAAGAGAUGA
RNAcentral lists this ribosomal RNA (270 nucleotides) under Triticum aestivum (bread wheat). RNAcentral describes it as "partial small subunit ribosomal RNA". Lineage: Eukaryota; Viridiplantae; Streptophyta; Magnoliopsida; Poales; Poaceae. The record is from RNAcentral.